GCGCUCCUACGGGACGCAGUAGUGAGGAAUAUUGGUCAAUGGUCGGGAGACUGAACCAGCCAAGCCGCGUGAGGGAUGAAGGUACAGAGUAUCGUAAACCUCUUUUGUCAGGGAACAAAGGCGGGGACGCGUCCCCGGAUGAGUGUACCUGAAGAAAAAGCAUCGGCUAACUCCGUGCCAGCAGCCGCGGUAAUACGGAGGAUGCGAGCGUUAUCCGGAUUUAUUGGGUUUAAAGGGUUCGCAGGCGGUCUGUUAAGUCAGCGGUCAAAGCCCGGGGCUCAACCCCGGCCCGCCGUUGAAACUGG
This 305-nucleotide ribosomal RNA is filed under the name uncultured bacterium. RNAcentral's name for it is "bacterial SSU rRNA". It matches the Rfam family "Bacterial small subunit ribosomal RNA", at positions 333 to 636 of the family's 1533-position model. The record is from RNAcentral.